AACCUUAUGGACCUGCGGGCGUAUACCUGCGGAGGGAUCAUUAACCUUUCAAAAAACAGGGUGCGUCGCGGCCCCCCUCCGGGGGCGGUUUGGGGUCCUCCCCUUCACGCGCGCACGACUGCAUCCUUACUUUACGAGCACCUUCUGUUCUCCCUCGGCGGGGCAGCCUGCCGUUGGAACCGAAUAAACCCUUUUUUGCAUCCAGCAUUACCCGUUCCGAAACAAACAAUCGUUACAACU
This 240-nucleotide unclassified non-coding RNA is filed under the name soil metagenome. Its description in RNAcentral is "partial contains 5.8S ribosomal RNA, internal transcribed spacer 2, and large subunit ribosomal RNA". The record is from RNAcentral.